RNAcentral lists this ribosomal RNA (206 nucleotides) under uncultured bacterium. RNAcentral's name for it is "partial 16S ribosomal RNA". It matches the Rfam family "Bacterial small subunit ribosomal RNA", at positions 568 to 774 of the family's 1533-position model. The record is from RNAcentral.
AGCGUAGACGGACUGGCAAGUCUGAUGUGAAAGGCGGGGGCUCAACCCCUGGACUGCAUUGGAAACUGUUAGUCUUGAGUGCCGGAGAGGUAAGCGGAAUUCCUAGUGUAGCGGUGAAAUGCGUAGAUAUUAGGAGGAACACCAGUUGCGAAGGCGGCUCUCUGGACUGUAACUGACACUGAGGCACGAAAGCGUGGGAGCAAACA